RNAcentral lists this ribosomal RNA (540 nucleotides) under uncultured bacterium. RNAcentral describes it as "bacterial SSU rRNA". It matches the Rfam family "Bacterial small subunit ribosomal RNA", at positions 355 to 896 of the family's 1533-position model. The record is from RNAcentral.
UGAGGAAUAUUGGUCAAUGGGCGCGAGCCUGAACCAGCCAAGUAGCGUGCAGGAUGACGGCCCUAUGGGUUGUAAACUGCUUUUGUAUGGGGAUAAAGUCAAUCACGUGUGAUUGUUUGCAGGUACCAUACGAAUAAGGACCGGCUAAUUCCGUGCCAGCAGCCGCGGUAAUACGGAAGGUCCAGGCGUUAUCCGGAUUUAUUGGGUUUAAAGGGAGUGUAGGCGGUUUGUUAAGCGUGUUGUGAAAUUUAGAUGCUCAACAUUUAACUUGCAGCGCGAACUGUCAGACUUGAGUACACGCAACGUAUGCGGAAUUCAUGGUGUAGCGGUGAAAUGCUUAGAUAUCAUGAAGAACUCCGAUUGCGAAGGCAGCAUACGGGAGUGUAACUGACGCUUAAGCUCGAAGGUGCGGGUAUCGAACAGGAUUAGAUACCCUGGUAGUCCGCACAGUAAACGAUGGAUGCCCGCUGUUAGCGCCUGGCGUUAGCGGCUAAGCGAAAGCAUUAAGCAUCCCACCUGGGGAGUACGCCGGCAACGGUG